GCGCGAAACCUUUACGAAUGCGGGCAACCGUGAUAAGGAAACCCCGAGUGCCCGUAAACGCGGGCUGUCCAUCUGUAUAAAAAGCAGGUGAAGAAAGGGCCGGGCAAGACCGGUGCCAGCCGCCGCGGUAAUACCGGCGGCUCGAGUGGUGGCCACUAUUACUGGGCUUAAAGGGUCCGUAGCUUGAGCAAUAAGUCCCUUGGGAAAUUCAGCAGCUUAACUGGUGAUAGUUCAGGGGACACUGUUGUUCUAGGGAUCGGGAGAGGUAAGAGGUACUGCCGGGGUAGGAGUGAAAUCCUGUAAUCCCGGUGGGACCACCGAUGGCGAAGGCAUCUUACCAGAACGACUCCGACAGUGAGGGACGAAAGCUGGGGGAGCAAACCGGAUUAGAUACCCGGGUAGUCCCCAGCCGUAAACGAUGCGCGUUAGGUGUGUCAGUGACCACGUGUCACUGAGGUGCCGAAGGGAACCGUGAAACGUGCCGCCUGGGAAGUACGGUCGCAAGGCUGAAACUUAAAGGAAUUGGCGGGGGA
Molecule: ribosomal RNA, 533 nt
Filed under: uncultured Methanomicrobiales archaeon
Lineage: Archaea; Methanobacteriati; Methanobacteriota; Methanomicrobia; Methanomicrobiales
Description: bacterial SSU rRNA
Rfam family: Archaeal small subunit ribosomal RNA
Source: RNAcentral